Molecule: ribosomal RNA, 503 nt
Filed under: uncultured bacterium
Lineage: Bacteria
Description: bacterial SSU rRNA
Rfam family: Bacterial small subunit ribosomal RNA
Source: RNAcentral
GAUGAACGCUGGCGGCGUGCCUAAUACAUGCAAGUCGAACGAGAUGAUUAAUCAUCGAGUGGCGAACGGGUGAGUAAAACAUAAGUAACCUGCCCUAGACAGGGGGAUAACUAUUGGAAACGAUAGCUAAAACCGCAUAGGUGUAGAGAUCGCAUGGUCAUUACAUUAAAGGUGCAAACAAGCACUGGUAGAGGAUGGACUUAUGGCGCAUUAGCUAGUUGGUAAGGUAAGGGCUUACCAAGGCGACGAUGCGUAGCCGACCUGAGAGGGUGACCGGCCACACUGGGACUGAGACACGGCCCAGACUCCUACGGGAGGCAGCAGUAGGGAAUUUUCGGCAAUGGACGAAAGUCUGACCGAGCAACGCCGCGUGAAGGAAGAAGGUUUUCGGAUUGUAAACUUCUGUUAUAAAGGAAGAACGAUAUAUAUAGGAAAUGAUAUAUAAGUGACGGUACUUUAUGAGAAAGCCACGGCUAACUACGUGCCAGCCGCCGCCGUAAAAC